RNAcentral lists this ribosomal RNA (524 nucleotides) under uncultured bacterium. Its description in RNAcentral is "partial 16S ribosomal RNA". It matches the Rfam family "Bacterial small subunit ribosomal RNA", at positions 28 to 523 of the family's 1533-position model. The record is from RNAcentral.
GACGAACGCUGGCGGCGUGCCUAAUACAUGCAAGUCGAGCGCAGGAAACUGACGGAACUCUUCGGAGGGAAGGCAGUGGAAUGAGCGGCGGACGGGUGAGUAACACGUAAGGAACCUGCCUCAAGGAUUGGGAUAACUCCGAGAAAUCGGAGCUAAUACCGGAUAGUUCAUCGGACCGCAUGGUCCGUUGAUGAAAGGCGCUCCGGCGUCACCUUGAGAUGGCCUUGCGGUGCAUUAGCUAGUUGGGGGGGUAACGGCCCACCAAGGCGACGAUGCAUAGCCGACCUGAGAAGGUGAUCGGCCACACUGGGACUGAGACACGGCCCAGACUCCUACGGGAGGCAGCAGUAGGGAAUCUUCCACAAUGGACGAAGGUCUGAUGGAGCAACGCCGCGUGAGUGAUGAAGGUUUUCGGAUCGUAAAACUCUGUUGUAAGGGAAGAACACGUACGAGAGGGAAUGCUCGUACCUUGACGGUACCUUACGAGAAAGCCACGGCUAACUACGUGCCAGCCGCCGCGGUAA